RNAcentral lists this signal recognition particle RNA (301 nucleotides) under Saimiri boliviensis boliviensis (Bolivian squirrel monkey). RNAcentral describes it as "Metazoan signal recognition particle RNA (ENSSBOG00000005029.1)". It matches the Rfam family "Metazoan signal recognition particle RNA". Rfam says of the family: The signal recognition particle (SRP) is a universally conserved ribonucleoprotein. The record is from RNAcentral. Lineage: Eukaryota; Metazoa; Chordata; Mammalia; Primates; Cebidae.
GCCGGGCGCAGUGGCACGUGCCUGUAGUCCCAGCUACUCGGGAGGCUGAGGUGGGAGGACCGAUUGAGCCCAGGAGUUCUGGGCUGUAGGGCACUAUGUCGAUCGGGUGUCCACACUAAAUUUGGCAUUGAUUUGGUGACCUCCCGGGAGUGGGGGACCACCAGGUUGCCUAAGGAGGGGUGAACUGACCCAGGUCAGAAAUGGAGCAGGUCAAAAUUCCCCUGCUGAUCCAUAGUGGGAUCGUGCCUGUGAAUAGCCAGCCACUGCACCAGCCUGGGCAACAUAAGGAGACGUUGUCUCU